GGAAGGAUCAUUACAACGUAUCCACGUAUAAACCUUUGUGAACCUGUUUAACCGCAUAAUGCGAGAUCGCAAAGUAUUUGCAAUUCGGAAUUAGAGCAAAUACCCGUCUUUCCAUGCGAAAGAGGAUCUUGUCAUUGUGUUUUUCCGUUACACAUUAACCACAUGUAAAUUUCUAUGUAAUUAACGGUUCUAGGCGAAAGCCUUUAGCUGAUAAAUAUAAGAAAUUAUAGCACAACUCUUAGCAACGGAUAUCUAGGCUCUCGUAUCGAUGAAGAACGCAGCGAAAUGCGAUACGUAAUGCGAAUUGCAGAAUUCAGUGAAUCAUCAAAUCUUUGAACGCAACUUGCGCUUCUGGGUAUCCCUGGAAGCAUGCCCCUUUGAGUAUCGUUUCAACACAACCUCGCCUGCGUGCUUGCAAAGGCCCACAGUGCGGUGAUUGAGUGUUUGGCCUGAAUUGGCUAAUCAUUUGAAACAUAUCAUAAAUUCAGUAUCAUCCGUUGAGCAUGUCUCACCUGGUUGAUGUUUGAUAAUUGACUUCGGUCAUUAACAUCAUUACAUCGACAACUGGAGGAUAUACCGAUUUGUGUAUCAAGGAACCUUCUAGAAAUUCAUUUUUCUAGAUAUUGACUUUGAUCUCAGAUGGAGCAAGAGAACCCGCCGAAUUUAAGCAUAUUAUUAAGCGGAGGAAAAGAAAAUAACAAUGAUUCCCCUAGUAACGGCGAGUGAAGCGGGAAGAGCUCAAAGUUAAAAUCGGUGUACCGAGAGGUGCUCCGAAUUGUAAUCUAGAGACACUUUUUCAGUCCUGACCCGGGUAUAAAUCUUUUGAAACAAGGUGUCAUAGAGGGUGAGAAUCCCGUCUUUGACCCGGAGUUCGGGGCGUACGAAGGGUGUUCCAAGAGUCGAAUAGCUUGGGAAUGCUGUUCUAAAUGGGUGGUAAAUUUCAUCUAAAGCUAAAUAUCGACGAGAGACCGAUAGCGAACAAGUACCGUGAGGGAAAGAUGAAAAGAACUUUGAAAGAGAGUUAAAAAGUACUUGAAAUUGUUAAGAAGGAAGCACUGGAAACCAGUUGUGCUGGCGUUACAUAGACACUACGUUGGUGAGAGGGCAAAUCGGUAUCUCAUAGAGCCGACCAAACUUCAGAGCUAGCGUAGUGUUCUCGUAGCGUUAGUGAGUCAGGAUCUGGUAGUUCUGCAGAAGAAAGCUAGCGGAAGGUAGUCAAUUAUCAGCGAUGGUAGUUGAAACUUAUAGCCGCUGGUCAAACUGUGGAGCUGCCAGAGGAACCACGAUAAUGCGCUCCGCAAGGCUGCUGGUGGGAGUUCCUAGCUGGCGGUGAUUUUGAAGAGCAAAGCUCUGUAGAGGUCACCGUUGGUUACUGGGUUCUCACUAGACCGCGCAUUCGCGAUCCUGACGAAAUGGUUUUCAUUGACCCGUCUUGAAACACGGACCAAGGAGUCUAACAUAUAUGCGAGUAUUUGGGUGUGAAAACCCUGAUGCGCAAUGAAAGUGAAGCUAAACUUUGUUUAGUGAGGUAGGAACCGCAAGGGGCACUAUCGACCGAUCGUUCAUUCAUGAAAGAUUUGAGUAAGAGCAUAUCUGUUGGGACCCGAAAGAUGGUGAACUAUGCCUGAUCAGGGUGAAGCCAGGGGAAACUCUGGUGGAGGCUCGUAGCGAUACUGACGUGCAAAUCGUUCGUCUGAAUUGGGUAUAGGGGCGAAAGACUAAUCGAACCAUCUAGUAGCUGGUUCCCGC
RNAcentral lists this unclassified non-coding RNA (1749 nucleotides) under uncultured fungus. Its description in RNAcentral is "sequence contains 18S rRNA gene, ITS1, 5.8S rRNA gene, ITS2, 28S rRNA gene". The stretch from base 631 to 1749 matches the Rfam family "Eukaryotic large subunit ribosomal RNA", at positions 1 to 961 of the family's 3401-position model. Lineage: Eukaryota; Fungi. The record is from RNAcentral.